UCAUCAAUUCACCUGCCGGCCGGCAGGUCCUCUCCCCUGCUCGCCCAUCUCCAUGGAUGCGUGCGGCUGAGAGUACUCGUCGGUGCUGGAGGAUGAGUACUCGUGGGCUCGCAUGCCGGCGGCAAGACAAAUCUCACAGGCGACGAGCACUGGGAAGAAGACCAAAGGAAUAUUUUACGGUGGAUGAUAGGUGGGACCUGCUCGUCAGUAGGUGCAGUGCUUGCUCACAAAAUCCCAGCAUUAUCCCGUCCGAGCGAAACAGGUAUUAUCGGGCUAAGGUUUUAAUUGGUCGGGAUUAGAAGGUUAGGUUUGAUUCCUACAAGUUUCAGGGUUUAAAAUGGACUUUUCACAUUACAUAAUGUAAAGUAUAAGAGUGAAUUUCACUUUUUGACCUUCAAGUUCCAUUUUUUUAACAGUUUUGACUCCAUUUAGUGCAAUUUUCGUUUUUGAUCUCAUUUAGCCAAACUUGUGCCACUAAUGCAUGACCCUAUUUGAGAGACUUUUGCCCAAAUCCCUUCCAUCCUGACAAGCGGACUCCACUUUUUUGGCUGAUGUGGCAAGCUAGAUCACCACAGUGUGAAACUCACCGCAAGUUGCCGGCUGCAUAAGGCUAUUGUUGGGGUAGAGGCACCCGAACGCGUUGGUGCGCCAGCCUCAUAGCGUGCGGCACCACUCGCCGCUAGCGUUGCACGCUGCGUCGUCCCCGAGCACUAUCCACUCCAGCAAGAAACCGCACCUCACCAUAUCCUUGUAGUCUCUUAAAUGGGGUCAUUAUUGGCACAAGUGUUUCUAAUGGAGUCAAAAAAACAAAAAUCCCGUUAAACGGGUCAAAUCUGUCAAAAAAAAGUAGAACUUAGGAUAAAAAAUGAAAUUCAUUGAAAGUUUGCUUUGAUUUCCUCGAAAAGGACACUCUUCAUGGAAAGAUCAUGAUCACUAUUGAUCAGCACCGUUGACCGCUUGCGCCAAAAGGAGGGCAUCAGUUUCCACUCAAAUCCUCGUCAU
This 1002-nucleotide long non-coding RNA is filed under the name Brachypodium distachyon (stiff brome). RNAcentral's name for it is "long non-coding RNA (BDIS_LNC002484)". Lineage: Eukaryota; Viridiplantae; Streptophyta; Magnoliopsida; Poales; Poaceae. The record is from RNAcentral.